GUGGACUCGAUAUCCAACUCACACUAUUCUACUCAAUAGUUGAAUCAGAGUUUAUUUUUAUCUUUGAUUGCUCGUGACAAGCGAUCAUUUAUUUAUCAACCAUAACAUCAAUAAAAUACAUGAUCAAGAUCCUUUAAAAAUAAAUAAAUAAAAAUUAUAAAUUCUUUAUAGAAUCCAUGAAUAGAUCCAGAUCGAUCACAAGCAACUG
RNAcentral lists this long non-coding RNA (208 nucleotides) under Elaeis guineensis (African oil palm). RNAcentral describes it as "long non-coding RNA (EGUI_LNC038275)". The record is from RNAcentral. Lineage: Eukaryota; Viridiplantae; Streptophyta; Magnoliopsida; Arecales; Arecaceae.